RNAcentral lists this ribosomal RNA (484 nucleotides) under uncultured bacterium. RNAcentral's name for it is "partial 16S ribosomal RNA". It matches the Rfam family "Bacterial small subunit ribosomal RNA", at positions 30 to 507 of the family's 1533-position model. The record is from RNAcentral.
AUUGAACGCUGGCGGCAGGCCUAACACAUGCAAGUCGAGCGGAUGCAGGGAGCUUGCUCCUGGAUUCAGCGGCGGACGGGUGAGUAAUGCCUAGGAAUCUGCCUGGUAGCGGGGGAUAACGUCCGGAAACGGGCGCUAAUACCGCAUACGUCCUGAGGGCGCAAUUGGGGGAUCUUCGGACCUCACGCUAUCAGGUUAGGCUAGGUCGGAAUAGCUAGUUGGUGGGGUAAAUGCUUAACAAGGCGACGCUCCGUAACUGGUCUUAGAGGAUGGCCAGUCACACUGGAACUGAGACACGGUCCAGACUCCGACGGGAGGCAGCAGUGGGGAAUAUUGGAGGAAGGGCGAAAGCGUAAUCCAGCCAAGCCGCGUGAGUGAAGAAGGUCUUCGGAUUGUAAAACGAUUUAAGUUGGGAGGAAGGAAAGUAAGUUAAGACCUUGCUGUUUUGACGUUACCAGCAGAAUAAGCACCGGCUAACUUCGUG